This is a regulatory RNA element of 83 nucleotides. It matches the Rfam family "chrB-a RNA". The record is from Rfam.
CUCAUGGGGUCUGCGUCCACCCCGUGAGGCUCAGGCCCAAGGCUCGCAUCCUUUGUUUCCCAUCUCUGGAAGGAUGUCUUAUG